AGGCUAAUACGUGAUGUAAUCCCUGGCCGACCGGCAACGGGAAGCUGGGGGACGUGUGAUUAGGCGCAAGAAAAGCCGGGAAAGAAUGCACGUCCAGACCGCGACAAAAACGGAUCGGUUUCGGCCGGCCCGAGCGGCUCUUGCGGGGUGCUUCUGACCUAUCAACUAGAUGGCAGCGUAACGGGCAUGCUAUGGUGGCAACGGGUACAGAGGAUUAGGGUUCGAUCCUGGAGAGUGGGCCUGAGAGAUU
RNAcentral lists this ribosomal RNA (250 nucleotides) under Physarum parvicalcareum. RNAcentral's name for it is "partial small subunit ribosomal RNA". It matches the Rfam family "Eukaryotic small subunit ribosomal RNA", at positions 161 to 405 of the family's 1831-position model. The record is from RNAcentral. Lineage: Eukaryota; Evosea; Eumycetozoa; Physariida; Physaraceae.